AAGACUAAAUAAACCAGGAGCACCUUUUGAAUGCCCAGUCUCAUCUGAUCUUGGAAGCUAAACUGGGUUGGGUCAGGUUAGUACUUUGUUAGUGGUUAGUGCAUACAGGUGUUGGGUCCUU
Molecule: ribosomal RNA, 121 nt
Filed under: Periophthalmus magnuspinnatus
Lineage: Eukaryota; Metazoa; Chordata; Actinopteri; Gobiiformes; Gobiidae
Source: RNAcentral